RNAcentral lists this ribosomal RNA (497 nucleotides) under uncultured bacterium. RNAcentral describes it as "partial 16S ribosomal RNA". It matches the Rfam family "Bacterial small subunit ribosomal RNA", at positions 28 to 507 of the family's 1533-position model. The record is from RNAcentral.
GACGAACGCUGGCGGCGUGCCUAAUACAUGCAAGUAGAACGCUGAAGAGAGGAGCUUGCUCUUCUUGGAUGAGUUGCGAACGGGUGAGUAACGCGUAGGUAACCUGCCUUGUAGCGGGGGAUAACUAUUGGAAACGAUAGCUAAUACCGCAUAACAAUGGAUGACACAUGUCAUUUAUUUGAAAGGGGCAAUUGCUCCACUACAAGAUGGACCUGCGUUGUAUUAGCUAGUAGGUGAGGUAAUGGCUCACCUAGGCGACGAUACAUAGCCGACCUGAGAGGGUGAUCGGCCACACUGGGACUGAGACACGGCCCAGACUCCUACGGGAGGCAGCAGUAGGGAAUCUUCGGCAAUGGGGGCAACCCUGACCGAGCAACGCCGCGUGAGUGAAGAAGGUUUUCGGAUCGUAAAGCUCGGUUGUAAGUCAAGAACGGGUGUGAGAGUGGAAAGUUCACACUGUGACGGUAGCUGACCAGAAAGGGACGGCUAACUACGUG